Molecule: transfer RNA, 73 nt
Filed under: Azospira restricta
Lineage: Bacteria; Pseudomonadati; Pseudomonadota; Betaproteobacteria; Rhodocyclales; Rhodocyclaceae
Also listed under: 1 other name
Rfam family: tRNA
About the family: Transfer RNA (tRNA) molecules are approximately 80 nucleotides in length. Their secondary structure includes four short double-helical elements and three loops (D, anti-codon, and T loops). Further hydrogen bonds mediate the characteristic L-shaped molecular structure. tRNAs have two regions of fundamental functional importance: the anti-codon, which is responsible for specific mRNA codon recognition, and the 3' end, to which the tRNAs corresponding amino acid is attached (by aminoacyl-tRNA synthetases). tRNAs cope with the degeneracy of the genetic code in two manners: having more than one tRNA (with a specific anti-codon) for a particular amino acid; and 'wobble' base-pairing, i.e. permitting non-standard base-pairing at the 3rd anti-codon position.
Source: Rfam by way of RNAcentral
GCUGCUGUAGCUCAGUUGGUAGAGCAACUGAUUCGUAAUCAGUAGGUCGGAGGUUCGACUCCUCUCAGCAGCA